CCCUGUGAUUUGCUAGAAGCCUGCCCUGGGAGGUGAGGAGGAGGAGUGUGGUGUUCUUGGGGUGUGAAGCAAGGAGGAAUUGAGGGGAGGCUGCUAAGGGUCCUAGGCUGUUCCCCGUGGGAACCCUGGGGUGGGCCAGGAGGCUGUGGCUGUGGACUUUUCAGGGGAGGGUCUGCAGGGGGUCGACUUGAGAGCAAGGGCUCAUCCCACCCGCACCCCAAUGUCACAGGGUGUCGUCCCCUAUCUUGGCACUUUCCUUGGUGACCUGCUUAUGCUGUGUCUGGCGAUGGGUGAUUAUCUCGAGGGGAAUGAGAUCAACCUUAAGAAAGGGACUGAGGAAUACCGAGUCAUGAGGGAGAUGCUGCUGCUCCCAGUGGUUGCAAAGAAUUACAACCAGAGCUGGAGGAGUGAUU
Diceros bicornis minor is the source of this 413-nucleotide long non-coding RNA. RefSeq lists it as uncharacterized. Lineage: Eukaryota; Metazoa; Chordata; Mammalia; Perissodactyla; Rhinocerotidae. The transcript has 3 exons. The record is from RefSeq and is a predicted model, not a curated record.